CAGGCAUGUGCCACCACACAGCUAAUUUUUUGUAUUUUUUAGUAGAGACGGGGUUUCACUGUGUGAGCCAGGAUGAUCUCCCUCUCCUGACCUCUUGAUCCAUCUGCCUUGGCCUCCCCAUCAUAGCUUUUUAUGAGCAGAGACAAUCCAACUUGAAUACAUGAAGAAUAACAUCUUUAGCACCCCAGAGGGUUGAAUAGUAUCCCAUUGUCUGGAUAUAACACAGCUUAUUGAUCCACUCACCUACUGAAGGACAUUUAAUUGCUUCUGAGUGUUGGCAAUUAUGAGUAAAGAUGCUACAGUCAUGUCUGAAGGCUUCUUUUGUGGACAUAAGUUUUCAACUCCUUCGGGUAAAUACCAAAGAGAACAAGUACUGGAAUGUAAGAGUAUUUUCAGUUUUCUAAGAAACUGUCAAACUGUCUUCCAAAGUGGCUGUACCAUUUUGCAAUUCCACCAUCAAUUGAUGUCCUUCAUCAGUUUGAUGAAGAUCCCCUGUAUUAAGACAACUUUUUGAA
This is a long non-coding RNA of Rhinopithecus roxellana (golden snub-nosed monkey), 515 nucleotides long. RefSeq lists it as uncharacterized. NCBI's taxonomy places the organism in Eukaryota, Metazoa, Chordata, Mammalia, Primates, Cercopithecidae. The record is from RefSeq and is a predicted model, not a curated record. The transcript is spliced from 3 exons.